RNA transcript from Camelina sativa (false flax), 219 nucleotides. RefSeq lists it as uncharacterized. NCBI's taxonomy places the organism in Eukaryota, Viridiplantae, Streptophyta, Magnoliopsida, Brassicales, Brassicaceae. The record is from RefSeq and is a predicted model, not a curated record.
CCAAAUUGUUGGAGAACCUUAUCCUGGAAAUAAUCUUCUUGCUUGUGGUUACUUCAUUCAUGGAACCACUAGUUGUAAUUUUGAGUGGGUAUGUCAUAUAGAAAUGGAUCUGUGAAUUACAUUGAUGGUGCAAAGCAGCCACAUUACCUCGUCACUGCUGAUGAUGUUGAUUUGUAUCUUGCUGUUGAAGUUCAGCCUUUGGAUUACAGGAACCGAAAG